Molecule: long non-coding RNA, 1932 nt
Organism: Zootoca vivipara (common lizard)
Lineage: Eukaryota; Metazoa; Chordata; Lepidosauria; Squamata; Lacertidae
Source: RefSeq, a predicted model, not a curated record
UUCCAAACUUUCCAUGUUGGUGACAUACUUUUUAGACAAGCAUCAUUUCACAACACAGCAAUUCAGUUUUACUAGCAAACUGGAGGUUAAACUAACCCCUUUGCAGCCCCGGGAAGAGCACGGGGAGCAUUUGUGCGACACAUCUAUAAGCUGCAGCCGACACACUAAUGUGUCAUGACACACAGUUUGGAAAGCUCUGGCCUACAGGAUAUGAACAGGCAUGACACUAUCAAUUCCAGGCCUUGCUAGUCUGCAUGCUCCAACCCUUUCUCUCUGCAGAAUUCAGAGAGAUCUGGAAAAUUCCCUUUUUGUGCUCUGGGCAAGAUAAGAGUGACAGAUGUAGAGCUUCCUUAUGUGCAUGUUAGCCAAAGAGGGUCAAGAAGGCAUGGGAGGCCUGAUCUACACUGCACUACUACGUAUGCAAAAUAAUACAAGUUAUAUGAUCCAGUCCUGGUAUUUUGCAUAGGCCACACGCAGCUGACCUCAAUAUCAUGUCUGCUCUUCAGCCUCCAUCUCCAUAAGAUGCAGUAGACUGACAGGUGGAUUUAAACACAGAGAAAGCCAGGCACCACUGAAGAAAGCUAGGAAAUUGCCCAGUCUAUUAAAGAAUACAGUAGUAAUCGAUUGUUCAUCACAUGCUAGUUGACACAGGUUGGACCAUGGAGUUUGGACCUUGUGUUGAAAAUGUGUUAAGAGAAUAGCUCCUCUGAACCAGAUUGUUGAAAUUUUGAUGUGCCUUCUGCAUCUGGCAACUGGAGACAAAACACAUUGGUAUACAGUGGUACCUUGGCUCUCAAGCACCUUGGUACUCAUACGCCUUGGUUCCCAAACGCUGAAAACACGGAAGCAAGCAUUCUGGUUUUCGAACGUUUUUCAGAAGCCGAAUGUCCGAUGCUGCUGUCGGCUAUUGUUUCCAGGGUGCCUGCACCAAUCAGAAGCUGCACCUUGGUUUUCGAACAUUUCAGAAGUCAAAUGGACUUCCGGAUCGGAUUAAGUUUGGUGCUUUUGUUUUUGCUAUUUAUUUUGCAUUUCUGUUUUUGAGGCUUUCUCAGUUAAUUUGUUUUUAUGACUGUGUAGAACCCAGUUCGGCUACUGAUUGAUUGUGUGACUGCGGAAAUGGAUAAAAGCCCCCCAUCAAAACAAUGACUAUCCGUGCAGGAAACCCACUCUGGCGCUGAAGAAGAUGAAGAAGAAGAAGAGAAGAGUUUGGAUUUGAUAUCCCGCUUUAUCACUACCUGAAGGAGUCUCAAAGUGGCUAACAUUCUCCUUUCCCUUCCUCCCCCACAACAAACACUCUGUGAGUUGUUACAGUUACCGCGAAGACAGAAGGGAAAACCGAUUCUUACUAUAAGUCCUUUGAAGGCCUUCUUCUCUGUGAUGCGAUACAAACCCUCCUUGGUCUGUAUUUUGAUGUGCUUGACUUCGGCGUUGAACCUGAGGGACACAAAUCCACAUGGCAGUUGGGUUAAUAAUGGUUUCCCAUUUCUGUACAGCAUUGUUAACAAUUGGUAACAACGGCUCACGUAACCUCAUUUAAGAAGAGCUCUAAGCUAAGAGAUAGAAGCAAGGUGCCUGCCUCAUUCAAAGUCAAAAUUAAUGCUGGCAUUUGAAGUAAGGCAAUGCUUCAGCUGUGAAGAAGAAACCAAGGAUGUGGUACCUCGGUUUUCGAACGUAAUCCAUUCUGGAAGACCGUUCCGAGUUCUGAAGCGUUUGAAAACCGAAAACUCAAUACGGAAGCCGUGUUUCCGGCUCAACUUCAGAGGCGCGUUUGAAAAUCGAAGCAUUUACUUCCGGGUUUACAGCAUUCAAGUUCCGAAAUGUUCGUCAACGGAGACGUUCGAAAAUCGAGGUACCACUGUACUGCACAUACAAAUCUCCUUCUCUACCCUGAUUUUCUAGUGUGGGGAGCAAUUCUAACAUUACUUGAUGCUG